This 72-nucleotide transfer RNA is filed under the name Bos taurus (domestic cattle). It matches the Rfam family "tRNA". From Rfam's summary of the family: Transfer RNA (tRNA) molecules are approximately 80 nucleotides in length. The record is from Rfam by way of RNAcentral. Lineage: Eukaryota; Metazoa; Chordata; Mammalia; Artiodactyla; Bovidae. RNAcentral also lists the same sequence under 2 other names.
UCCCUGGUGGCUCAGAGGGCAAAACGUCUGCCUGCAAUGCAGAAGACCCAGGUUUGAUCCCUGGAUUGGGAA